This 712-nucleotide ribosomal RNA is filed under the name Micromonospora citrea. RNAcentral describes it as "bacterial SSU rRNA". It matches the Rfam family "Bacterial small subunit ribosomal RNA", at positions 108 to 834 of the family's 1533-position model. Lineage: Bacteria; Bacillati; Actinomycetota; Actinomycetes; Micromonosporales; Micromonosporaceae. The record is from RNAcentral.
GAGUAACACGUGAGCAACCUGCCCCAGGCUUUGGGAUAACCCCGGGAAACCCGGGGCUAAUACCGAAUAUGACCUCCGAUCGCAUGGUUGGUGGUGGAAAGUUUUUCGGCUUGGGAUGGGCUCGCGGCCUAUCAGCUUGUUGGUGGGGUGAUGGCCUACCAAGGCGACGACGGGUAGCCGGCCUGAGAGGGCGACCGGCCACACUGGGACUGAGACACGGCCCAGACUCCUACGGGAGGCAGCAGUGGGGAAUAUUGCACAAUGGGCGGAAGCCUGAUGCAGCGACGCCGCGUGAGGGAUGACGGCCUUCGGGUUGUAAACCUCUUUCAGCAGGGACGAAGCGUAAGUGACGGUACCUGCAGAAGAAGCGCCGGCCAACUACGUGCCAGCAGCCGCGGUAAGACGUAGGGCGCGAGCGUUGUCCGGAUUUAUUGGGCGUAAAGAGCUCGUAGGCGGCUUGUCGCGUCGACUGUGAAAACCCGCAGCUCAACUGCGGGCCUGCAGUCGAUACGGGCAGGCUAGAGUUCGGUAGGGGAGACUGGAAUUCCUGGUGUAGCGGUGAAAUGCGCAGAUAUCAGGAGGAACACCGGUGGCGAAGGCGGGUCUCUGGGCCGAUACUGACGCUGAGGAGCGAAAGCGUGGGGAGCGAACAGGAUUAGAUACCCUGGUAGUCCACGCUGUAAACGUUGGGCGCUAGGUGUGGGGGGCCUCU